CAAAAACAAACUGGGACAGAAACUUCGACGAAUGUAUAACACAGAAUAAAACAUUUUAAGGUGUUAAAGAUGUAUUAUUCAAUUAGUUGCCUAUUCUUGGCCAUAAUAUGCCAAGUACUAUCACCGCUCAGCUUUGCAGAUGAAAGCUUUGUUCUCGAGGAGUUCCGAGGCUAUCCGAUGUUUCGCGAAGAUGAGAUCCGAGGUCGGAGAACGGUCGGGAAUAUUAUGCGUAGUAUGGGCUCGGACGACAUCGACGAUUCCGACGUCGGCCGAUUCGACAGCUACUGGGACUCGAGCGCUCGGAAAAAGUCCGAAACUUAUUUCACCAAUGAGCAAGUCGAUAGAGUUCUCGAGGAAGCCUUUCGGGACAAGCCGUUCGCCGAGGAGUCCACGGGUACGGUCCGAGCCAACGUCGGAGAAAGUCUUAUUGGCAAGCAUGCGCACGAUGGUAGUAUACCGCUGAGCAUUAUCGAAAACGAACGCAACGGAAAUCCGUAUCAAAGAGACAUUGUGGAAAAUGAACUAGUAGAGUCGCCAUUUUCUGAUAUGGACACAGGAAUGAAUAUUGGACGAAAGUUUAGGCACAAAGUUGUCUAAAAAUACUGAAGCAACAUGUCUUGUGCAACGUGACAUCAAAAUAAUUUAGUUAUCUAAGUAGCAUUUAGUAUAUAAAAAAUUGGAAAGUUUGAAUGUACAGUUUGGAGUUAAGACGUUGUUUUUUCUUACAAACGAAUCCUUCCGGGCCAACUUGGGCUAAGAAAACAUUGCUCUUUAUCUAUUGCAACGCUGGAUUUGAUCAAGACAAGUCAUCUUAUUUUUUAUCAAAUUCAUCUUAACUGAAGGCCCGCGCGCGUUUGGACAUCUUUAGCAUGUAUAUAGAUAGAUAAAAUUUUCAGUCAAUAUCUAAAAUGUUGUUUAUUUUUUUGCUGGAAAUAAACUAGAAUUUCCUUGUUAA
This is a long non-coding RNA of Dendronephthya gigantea, 955 nucleotides long. RefSeq lists it as uncharacterized. The record is from RefSeq and is a predicted model, not a curated record. The transcript is spliced from 2 exons. NCBI's taxonomy places the organism in Eukaryota, Metazoa, Cnidaria, Anthozoa, Malacalcyonacea, Nephtheidae.